AUACAGUUGCAGGAAAACAGGUGAAAUUCCUGUACAAGUCCGUUACCGUUAAAGUCGGAGUACUCUCUGUAU
Molecule: non-coding RNA, 72 nt
Filed under: Blautia sp.
Lineage: Bacteria; Bacillati; Bacillota; Clostridia; Lachnospirales; Lachnospiraceae
Source: RNAcentral